Molecule: ribosomal RNA, 503 nt
Filed under: uncultured bacterium
Lineage: Bacteria
Description: partial 16S ribosomal RNA
Rfam family: Bacterial small subunit ribosomal RNA
Source: RNAcentral
GAUAAACGCUAGCGGCAGGCUUAACACAUGCAAGUCGAGGGGCAGCAUAGAUUGUAGCAAUACAAUUGGUGGCGACCGGCGCACGGGUGCGUAACGCGUAUGCAACCUACCCGUCACAGGGGGAUAAUCCGGAGCAAUCUGGUCUAAUACCCCAUAACAUAUGGAUCGGCAUCGGUUCAUGUUGAAAUUUUCGGAGGUGACGGAUGGCAUGCGUAGCAUUAGCUUGUUGGUGAGGUAACGGCUCACCAAGGCGACGAUGCUUAGGGGGACUGAGAGGUUUUCCCCCCACACUGGUACUGAGACACGGACCAGACUCCUACGGGAGGCAGCAGUGAGGAAUAUUGGUCAAUGGGCGCAAGCCUGAACCAGCCAUGCCGCGUGCAGGAUGACGGCUCUAUGAGUUGUAAACUGCUUUUGUACGAGGGUAAAGUGGGUUACGUGUAACCUUUUGAAAGUAUCGUACGAAUAAGGAUCGGCUAACUCCGUGCCAGCAGCCGCGGUAA